This 253-nucleotide ribosomal RNA is filed under the name uncultured bacterium. RNAcentral's name for it is "partial 16S ribosomal RNA". It matches the Rfam family "Bacterial small subunit ribosomal RNA", at positions 524 to 776 of the family's 1533-position model. The record is from RNAcentral.
UACGGAGGGUGCCAGCGUUGUCCGGAUUUAUUGGGUUUAAAGGGUGCGUAGGCGGCUCUAUAAGUCCGUGGUGAAAGCCAACAGCUCAACUGUUGAACUGCCAUGGAUACUGUAGGGCUUGAGUACAGACGAGGUAGGCGGAAUGGAUGCUGUAGCGGUGAAAUGCAUAGAUAGCAUCCAGAACCCCGAUUGCGUAGGCAGCUUACUAGGCUGUAACUGACGCUGAGGCACGAAAGCGUGGGGAGCGAACAGG